GAUGAAGAACGCAGCGAAAUGCGAUAAGUAAUGUGAAUUGCAGAAUUCAGUGAAUCAUCGAAUCUUCGAACGCACAUUGCGCCCGCCAGUAUUCUGGCGGGCAUGCCUGUCUGAGCGUCAUUUCAACCCUCAUGCCCCUAGGGCGUGGUGUUGGGGAUCGGCCAAAGCCCGCGAGGGACGGCCGGCCCCUAAAUCUAGUGGCGGACCCGUCGUGGCCUCCUCUGCGAAGUAGUGAUAUUCCGCAUCGGAGAGCGACGAGCCCCUGCCGUUAAACCCCCAACUUUCCAAGGUUGACCUCAGAUCAGGUAGGAAUACCCGCUGAACUUAAGCAUAUCAAUAAGCGGAGGA
This 348-nucleotide unclassified non-coding RNA is filed under the name soil metagenome. RNAcentral's name for it is "partial contains 5.8S ribosomal RNA, internal transcribed spacer 2, and large subunit ribosomal RNA". The stretch from base 1 to 120 matches the Rfam family "5.8S ribosomal RNA", at positions 35 to 154 of the family's 154-position model. The record is from RNAcentral.